UGGGGAAUAUUGGACAAUGGGGGGAACCCUGAUCCAGCCAUGCCGCGUGUGUGAAGAAGGCCUUAUGGUUGUAAAGCACUUUAAGCGAGGAGGAGGGUACUGGUAUUAAUACUACCAGCUACUGGACGUUACUCGCAGAAUAAGCACCGGCUAACUCUGUGCCAGCAGCCGCGGUAAUACAGAGGGUGCGAGCGUUAAUCGGAUUUACUGGGCGUAAAGCGUGCGUAGGCGGCUAAUUGAGUCGGAUGUGAAAUCCCCGAGCUUAACUUGGGAAUUGCAUUCGAUACUGGUUAGCUAGAGUGUGGGAGAGGAUGGUAGAAUUCCAGGUGUAGCGGUGAAAUGCGUAGAGAUCUGGAGGAAUACCGAUGGCGAAGGCAGCCAUCUGGCCUAACACUGACGCUGAGGUACGAAAGCAUGGAGAGCAAACAGG
RNAcentral lists this ribosomal RNA (430 nucleotides) under Pseudomonadota bacterium. RNAcentral's name for it is "Proteobacteria bacterium partial 16S ribosomal RNA". It matches the Rfam family "Bacterial small subunit ribosomal RNA", at positions 355 to 776 of the family's 1533-position model. Lineage: Bacteria; Pseudomonadati; Pseudomonadota. The record is from RNAcentral.